This 372-nucleotide ribosomal RNA is filed under the name uncultured organism. RNAcentral's name for it is "bacterial SSU rRNA". It matches the Rfam family "Bacterial small subunit ribosomal RNA", at positions 526 to 896 of the family's 1533-position model. The record is from RNAcentral.
CGUAGGGGGCAAGCGUUGUCCGGAAUCAUUGGGCGUAAAGCGCGUGUAGGCGGCUUGGUAAGUCCGCUCUGAAAGCCCGGGGCUCAACCCCGGGAGGCGGGUGGAUACUGUCAAGCUCGAGUCCGGAAGAGGCGAGUGGAAUUCCUGGUGUAGCGGUGAAAUGCGCAGAUAUCAGGAGGAACACCAAUGGCGAAGGCAGCUCGCUGGGACGUGACUGACGCUGAGACGCGAAAGCGUGGGGAGCAAACAGGAUUAGAUACCCUGGUAGUCCACGCCGUAAACGAUGGGCACUAGGUGUGGGAGGUGUCGACUCCUUCCGUGCCGAAGCUAACGCAUUAAGUGCCCCGCCUGGGGAGUACGGCCGCAAGGCUA